This 662-nucleotide ribosomal RNA is filed under the name uncultured bacterium. RNAcentral's name for it is "bacterial SSU rRNA". It matches the Rfam family "Bacterial small subunit ribosomal RNA", at positions 94 to 788 of the family's 1533-position model. The record is from RNAcentral.
AGUGGCGAACGGGUGAGUAACGCGUGAGUAUCUGCCCUUAGGAGGGGGACAACAGUUGGAAACGACUGCUAAUACCCCAUAUGUCUACGGAUGAAAGAUUUUAUCGCCUGAGGAUGAGUUCGCGUCUGAUUAGCUAGUUGGUGAGGUAAAGGCUCACCAAGGCGACGAUCAGUAGCUGGUCUGAGAGGAUGAUCAGCCACACUGGGACUGAGACACGGCCCAGACUCCUACGGGAGGCAGCAGUGGGGAAUUUUCCGCAAUGGGGGCAACCCUGACGGAGCAAUACCGCGUGCGGGAGGACGGCCUGUGGGUUGUAAACCGCUUUUCUCAGGGAAGAAGACCUGACGGUACCUGAGGAAUCAGCAUCGGCUAACUCCGUGCCAGCAGCCGCGGUAAUACGGAGGAUGCAAGCGUUAUCCGGAAUUAUUGGGCGUAAAGCGUCCGUAGGUGGUUAAUCAAGUCUGCUGUUAAAGAGCGGAGCUCAACUCCGUUUAAGCGGUGGAAACUGGUUGACUAGAGAGUGGUAGGGGUAGAGGGAAUUCCCAGUGUAGCGGUGAAAUGCGUAGAUAUUGGGAAGAACACCGGUGGCGAAAAGCGCUCUACUGCGCCACAUCUGACACUGAUGGACGAAAGCUAGGGGAGCGAAAGGGAUUAGAUACCCC